This is a small nucleolar RNA of Paramormyrops kingsleyae, 68 nucleotides long. Ensembl annotates it as small nucleolar RNA SNORD37. The record is from Ensembl. NCBI's taxonomy places the organism in Eukaryota, Metazoa, Chordata, Actinopteri, Osteoglossiformes, Mormyridae.
CCAGAGGAUGACUUAAACUUUCUUCACUUUGACCUGAUUGUUCUGUGAUGAGAGCUUUCAGUCUGAUG